AGAUUGAACUGAAGAGUUUGAUCCUGGCUCAGAUUGAACGCUGGCGGCAUGCUUUACACAUGCAAGUCGAACGGCAGCGCGGGCUUCGGCCUGGCGGCGAGUGGCGAACGGGUGAGUA
Molecule: ribosomal RNA, 118 nt
Filed under: Pseudoduganella guangdongensis
Lineage: Bacteria; Pseudomonadati; Pseudomonadota; Betaproteobacteria; Burkholderiales; Oxalobacteraceae
Description: partial 16S ribosomal RNA
Rfam family: Bacterial small subunit ribosomal RNA
Source: RNAcentral